RNAcentral lists this ribosomal RNA (474 nucleotides) under uncultured prokaryote. RNAcentral's name for it is "bacterial SSU rRNA". The stretch from base 75 to 474 matches the Rfam family "Bacterial small subunit ribosomal RNA", at positions 1 to 905 of the family's 1533-position model. The record is from RNAcentral.
UACUGGGAGUACUCUUUGGGUGGCGCAACUAACGCAUGAAGUUCUCCGCCUGGGGAGUACGGCCGCAAUAUUAAACCUCAGAGGAAUUGACGGAUCCUCUGAGGAAUUGACGGAAACUCAUAGGACUUGACGGGCUCUCAGAAGGAUUGGCGGGUCUGCUGAGGAAUCGCAAGGCUCAACCUCGGGUUGGCGGUGGGUACGGGCAGGCUAGAGUGCGGUAGGGGAGAUUGGAAUUCCUGGUGUAGCGGUGGAAUGCGCAGAUAUCAGGAGGAACACCAAUGGCGAAGGCAGAUCUCUGGGCCGUAACUGACGCUGAGGAGCGAAAGCAUGGGGAGCGAACAGGAUUAGAUACCCUGGUAGUCCAUGCCGUAAACGUUGGGAACUAGAUGUAGGGCCUGUUCCACGGGUUCUGUGUCGUAGCUAACGCAUUAAGUUCCCCGCCUGGGGAGUACGGCCGCAAGGCUAAAACUCAAA